GGAGAAGGCAAAGUGCAGAGGAAGGAGGAGCCACUGCUAGUGGGUACGAGGUUUCUUCUUGGUACAAGGCCAAGAUCCAACUCAGAAGACUAGAAAAUGAACAACCCAGCAAACUUAGGAGAUGGGGAAGGAAGGGAAUUCAGAAGGUGAUAGCUGCAAGCAUCGGCAGACCAGUCCUAGCAAAAUGGAGUUUAAAAGGGGGACUUCUACGUUCUGUCCUCCUGCAGCCAUCUAAAAUCAGCCAGAAAGGUUUAGGAUCCCAUUUCCUGUUCUUGCAUCGGCUGUCCAAGCUGCUGUUCCUCUCUCCGCAGUAAGAGGGUGUUUCUCUCCCUGUUCAAGAGGAGCACCAACACUUGAGGACAGUAUCAUCCCUAGACCUUGGCAAGAGAGACCACUGAGUGAGGCAUCCAUGGAACCCAAGGAAGAGGCCUACGAAGAACCUGCAGUCACCUUCUAGACCAUUCUCCCUCACCAAACUGUCCCCUCCAGAGAGCUGAGGACUGGAUCUUCCCAUGCUGACACCUCCAGUGGGAAAGAAAAUUCUAGAUUCAGCUCUGGGUGUCCAAGUCAUUAUGAAGGCAUAUUUGUCAAGGUGGAAGAAAAGGACAUAUUCUAUUUAGCAGUUUAAAGAAGUAAUGCAUGACUCUGAUUUGCGGCUGCAGGAUAAAUCCGAACUAUUUCAGGGAGAUGUCAUGGAGAGCUCAUCUCUCAGCAUCAAAGUUGCCUCUCCUGACUUUUGAAUUUUAAGUGUUCUGUGUGGAAGAAAAAUGGAGACAACAAAUUUCUAUGCAUGGAUUCAAAGAAUCCUCGUAAUAUACAGACUACAUUCUCCCCAGCUUUUUAUCUCUAUAUAUUCUUUUUGUUGAGUUUCAACCACAUAGGGUUGAAAUUCACCUUCCCACAUUACAUUUUUCAUCAAUAGUUGAAGACCUAUGUAUGUAAAUAUCAGGAACUAUCAGAACUCCCUGCAACAGGAAACCUGACCCCCAACUCCCCCGAAAUGCAUCAUGAUAAACAGUCACUUGCCAAAAUAACAAAUCAGCUUCCUGGAACAUGCUUGCUCAAAACCAGGAGAGGAGCUUAGAGACGUCAGCUUGACUUCUGCCUCGUACGCAGGAAGGGUGACCUUCAAAGAUCAAACAUCGUCCCAAAUCUCCCUUCAUCUUGUAGUACUCCUGCUUGUCGUAGCUCCUGUUACCAUCAGAGACAGAAUGUGCUAUAACCUUCUGGAAACUUCUACUAUUUUCCUGCAACCUGACUACCCCUUAGGUGAGGGAGUCCAGAAUGCUGGCUUGAAAUGGGAGAGAGAAAGAACUGCCACAUAAUUUGCAAGAUCUUUUUUGAAAAAGAAAAGGUAUUAAGAAUUCCAGGACAGCAUUAGGAAUGUAUUAAACCAGAAUAAGGAACAGCGGAGCUUCCCCCUAAGACCCUGGUGUGUUUCUGCAUCAGGAAACCUUCUCUCCUGCAAUGUGUCGUUUAAGAUUGAACAACAUGGUGCCUUUGCCAGAAGUUAACAGGAAACCCAAAAGGAGAUGAGCCAGACUGGUUAGUUCAGAAGAGAAUCGUUGGGGAAGACAAUGGGAGCUGCUGUUUGAAUGUGGCCCUGAGAUUAUUUGUGCUUUUCAAUCCCAUGUUACCAAAACACAUUUCAAGCUGGCCUAUAAAUCACACCUUGUGCAUAAUUUUAAGUGGAUAAAUAUUUGUCGCCCAAGUGAAUGAUGCUUCCAGCUUUCAAAAAAUUGUAUUAAGUGUGGUUAUUAUUAUAA
Homo sapiens (human) is the source of this 1766-nucleotide long non-coding RNA. The record is from Ensembl. NCBI's taxonomy places the organism in Eukaryota, Metazoa, Chordata, Mammalia, Primates, Hominidae.